UUAUUCUGCUUCAGAUAAGUUGAUCCACUUUUUGUCUUCCAGUGCAAAGUGCACCUAAACUUUUGAAAAUGAAGUUUUAGUGGAACUGUGAUUUCAGACAGACAUUAAUCCUCUGGAAAGGCAGAAUCAGUUUUAUUAAUAAGCUUUCACUAUUGUUUUUGUGCCUUUGUUUAAUGUGCUUGAAUGUUGAAUUAUGCUAAAUUAUGUACAUGUUAAGUGAUAAAUUACGUAAUGCUCCAAUGUGGUGGAAAUUAAUAGUGGAACUUCCUUAAUUUUCUCUUUUGUUUUUUUGCCAUAUACCCCAUUAAAUCUCUCUGUUAUGUAGAUGGCUUUGUCAUAAGAAAGGGGAAUGGGAAGAGGAGGAAAAACCCCCAAGCCCCAAACCAAGCAGAGCCUUGCUCCCCUUGGACAGAUGGUGAGGGCUGAACCAUCAUAAAAUUGUUAUUGCCCUAAUUGAAAUCACAUUGGUGUAUUGUUCUCAGGCCGUGCCAGGGAUGCUCCCUGGGAUGGGGCUGCCAGGGGCGGGGAGAAGAGUCCCACCACAGAAAUGCAGAGCUGUGAAAAUCCUCCAGAAGGCUACGAGAGAUUCCAGCACCUCCUGGGCUAUUGCUGCUGACCCAGGGUCAGGCACGGGCAGACACCUCACAGCUGCAUCGCUUCGCCUUCCUUUUCCCAGUGGAAAUUCCUGCAGGGAACGGAUCGCCCCAGACAGCGUAGCUGGAGCCUGGGAAAACACGUGCUGCUUCGGAGUAGUUCUUUUAAAAUAUGGUGAGGACUUAGCUAAUGCAUUCCACCUGCCAGAGUCACCAGGGGAACUCCAGAGACAAGCUUCAAGCUGCUCUAAAACCGCUUCUAGUAAGACAUCUAUUGAACUGAUAAACAGCAAAGCCUUAUUUCAUAAUUGGAAUUAA
This 911-nucleotide long non-coding RNA is filed under the name Parus major (Great Tit). Its description in RNAcentral is "lncRNA (ENSPMJG00000000853.1)". Lineage: Eukaryota; Metazoa; Chordata; Aves; Passeriformes; Paridae. The record is from RNAcentral.